Molecule: ribosomal RNA, 500 nt
Filed under: uncultured bacterium
Lineage: Bacteria
Description: partial 16S ribosomal RNA
Rfam family: Bacterial small subunit ribosomal RNA
Source: RNAcentral
AUUGAACGCUGGCGGCAGGCCUAACACAUGCAAGUCGAGCGGUAGAGAGAAGCUUGCUUCUCUUGAGAGCGGCGGACGGGUGAGUAAUGCCUAGGAAUCUGCCUGGUAGUGGGGGAUAACGUUCGGAAACGGACGCUAAUACCGCAUACGUCCUACGGGAGAAAGCAGGGGACCUUCGGGCCUUGCGCUAUCAGAUGAGCCUAGGUCGGAUUAGCUAGUUGGUGGGGUAAUGGCUCACCAAGGCGACGAUCCGUAACUGGUCUGAGAGGAUGAUCAGUCACACUGGAACAGAGACACGGUCCAGACUCCUACGGGAGGCAGCAGUGGGGAAGAUUGGACAAUGGGCGAAAGCCUGAUCCAGCCAUGCCGCGUGUGUGAAGAAGGUCUUCGGAUUGUAAAGCACUUUAAGUUGGGAGGAAGGGCAGUAAAUUAAUACUUUGCUGUUUUGACGUUACCGACAGAAUAAGCACCGGCUAACUCUGUGCCAGCCGCCGCAGUAA